RNAcentral lists this transfer RNA (72 nucleotides) under Sphaerodactylus townsendi. RNAcentral describes it as "tRNA-Ala". It matches the Rfam family "tRNA". Rfam says of the family: Transfer RNA (tRNA) molecules are approximately 80 nucleotides in length. Their secondary structure includes four short double-helical elements and three loops (D, anti-codon, and T loops). Further hydrogen bonds mediate the characteristic L-shaped molecular structure. tRNAs have two regions of fundamental functional importance: the anti-codon, which is responsible for specific mRNA codon recognition, and the 3' end, to which the tRNAs corresponding amino acid is attached (by aminoacyl-tRNA synthetases). tRNAs cope with the degeneracy of the genetic code in two manners: having more than one tRNA (with a specific anti-codon) for a particular amino acid; and 'wobble' base-pairing, i.e. permitting non-standard base-pairing at the 3rd anti-codon position. Lineage: Eukaryota; Metazoa; Chordata; Lepidosauria; Squamata; Sphaerodactylidae. The record is from RNAcentral.
GGGGCUGUGGCUCAGUGGUAGAGCGUCUGCUUUGCAUGUGUAAGGUCCCCGGUUCAAUUCCCGCCACCUCCA